AUUGAACGCUGGCGGCAGGCCUAACACAUGCAAGUCGAGCGGAGCGGCGGACGGGUGAGUAAUGCCUAUGAAUCUGCCUGGCCGUGGGGGAGAACGUCCGGCAAAGGGCGGUAAUACCGCAUACUAUCAGAUGAGCCGAGGUCGGAUUAGCUAGUUGGUGGGGUAAAGGCCUACCAAGGUGACGAUCCGUAACUGGUUAGAGAGGAUGAUCAGUCACACUGGAACUGAGACACGGUCCAGACUCCUACGGGAGGCAGCAGUGGGGAAUAUGGGACAAUGGGCGAAAGCCGGAGCCAGCCAUGCCGCGUGUAUGAAGAAGGCCUUCGGGUUGUAAAGCACUUUAAGUUGGGAGGCGUUACCGACAGAAUAAGCACCGGCUAACUUCGUGCCAGCAGCCGCGGUAAUUC
This 407-nucleotide ribosomal RNA is filed under the name uncultured bacterium. RNAcentral's name for it is "partial 16S ribosomal RNA". It matches the Rfam family "Bacterial small subunit ribosomal RNA", at positions 30 to 526 of the family's 1533-position model. The record is from RNAcentral.